This is a non-coding RNA of Arachis ipaensis, 446 nucleotides long. The record is from RefSeq and is a predicted model, not a curated record. NCBI's taxonomy places the organism in Eukaryota, Viridiplantae, Streptophyta, Magnoliopsida, Fabales, Fabaceae.
UGACGAGAAUAAAUGAAUAUGUCAUUUCAAAUGCCUAAGUCCUAACUCCUAACUGAACAAAAAAUGAAAUAUAUUUGAAAUGUUACCCUUCAAAGAGUAUUGUGCCAACUUCUAAGUAACCGCUAAUUGAGUUUGUUAAUUGUUAGUUGUUACACUUACAAAAUUAUAAAUAAGUAAUGUGACUAACAGCCCCAGAAGGGUUUUAAGGAGAUAUAUUAGAAUAAGGGAUUGAGAAAGCUUUUAUGGAAAAUAAAAUAUACAACAUUUAAGUUUCCAAUGCAUUUGUUAUGCAUUCAUUCGAACAAAAAAAAUUUAAAAACUUCUACUAUCGGUAACCUUAACCUUUUGGGUACAUAUUAGCUAAACCCUUAAAGUAUUCUUACCCAAAGACAGCAAACAUCUUUCGAUAUUUCUGCUUAUCACAUCAAUAAAAAAAAAAAAAACCC